UUUGCAAGAGAUUUCCAUGGUGCAGUACCAGUGUAGACCACUAGAGGGUGGGAUUUCUCUCUCUACAUGUGUGCAAUCCUGCUGACAAUACAAUGCAAUAACCUGUUUGGAGUGGUCCAGACGGUAUGUGCGGUUUGUAUUGUCACAUGAUGGACGGUGAUGUUCACAACAAAUGAACCACUGUUGCCUUAAAUAGGAGAGAAGAGAUGUUGUAUGACUUGUACGGUAUAUAGCAUCUGUAUGUGCAGCUCACAUUACCGCUUUAGAGGAUUGCUUUGAUUGGUGUGUGUUCCUGAUGUGUUGCCUGUGUUGCAUUCAUUGAUGACUCAUUUAGUUUGUCUGUGUCUUCAUCUUCACUCUUUACACAGAUACUAUUUUCCAGCAGAGGAAAUACCUUACUGUAGCUGUUGUUAUUGUUUCAAACUUGUUGUAACUGAAAAGUGCCUGUCAUCUUUCCCUCCAGCACUGAUUGGCAGGAGAUGAGAUGAUCCCCUCCUUCUUUUUUCAGUCUCUCAUCUGCCUGUCAUCUUUCCCUCCCUCCCUCCUGGUCUGUCCAUCACUUUUUCUUCUGUUGCAGGCCGGUGUUUCACAGUAGCUCCAGUCUUCGUAAGGACCUGCGUGUCCUCGGCAACCAAACCUGCAUCACUUGUAACUAACGGUCAUAUUGUUGGUAAACUGUUAGACAGACAGCUGUGAAAGGGUCCUCAUCCAUCAGGGCGAUUUAACCUUUUAUACUGCUAGUAUCUUGUUAUUUUCUGAAGCACUGAGUUGAACCCUUUUGAACUAGAGAUGGCUUGUGUCCCAAAUGGCACUCUUUCCCCUAUUAUAGUGCACUACUUUUGCUCAGGGCUCCGGUCCAAAGCACUGCACCAUAUAGGGAAUAGGGUGCGAUUUGAGAGGCAGUCGUGGUGUCUGUAGAACACAUGGGUGGAAAGAUAGACUUGGGCUCCCAACGAGCCAGUAGAGGAAUGUACUUCCUGUGAAAACCCCCCUUUUUUCUGCGGUUGGGUUGGAGAGAGACUGUUGUUAUGCACUGUCAUGUUGGGAUGGAAGAGACGCAAAGGGAGCGUUCCAAAUAGCGCCAUGUGUAGUGCACUACUUUUGACCCGGGGCCCCAUAUAUGGUGGCAUUUGGGACUCAGUCACAAAGACAAAAGGGAACUGUUGGGGAAAUGCAAUGGCAACGAAAUCGCGCCUACCAGUUACCGUCUCCAGUCUCUACUAACAGGCUGCAAUCUGUGAUUGGAUGGACAGUGGAAUUUUUAGAGAAAAAGAGAGAAUAUUGCUGUAAUCUUUUCCACCAUUCCGACUCUCUCAGUAGCACUUGAGUCUGGGAACGAGGUUAAUAUUGCUGUAAUCUUUGAUGGUUGUUUUACUGCGUGUCGCUAUACUAUGUGUUUAAAAGGUCAAGGGUCACAAUAUAUGGUAAUGCAUUAUUACAUGUCUGUGUUAAUGAUCUGGCUGUGAUGUUGACAAAAUGUCUGGGUUUUAUUGAAAAAGGUGGGCCUGAAAUGCCUGCAGAAAUGA
Long non-coding RNA from Oncorhynchus kisutch (coho salmon), 1526 nucleotides. RefSeq lists it as uncharacterized. The transcript has 2 exons. NCBI's taxonomy places the organism in Eukaryota, Metazoa, Chordata, Actinopteri, Salmoniformes, Salmonidae. The record is from RefSeq and is a predicted model, not a curated record.